UGCAUGUCUAAGUAUAAAUAACUACACAGUAAAACUGCGAAUGGCUCAUUAAAACAGUUAUAGUUUAUUUGAUACAUAAAAUGGAUAACUGUAGAAAAACUAGAGCUAAUACAUGCCAUAACCGCAAGGUUGUAUUUAUUAGAUAUACCAAAGUGGGUGAAUCAUAAUAACUUCGCAAAUCGCAGCAACGCUGCGAUAAAUCAUUCAAGUUUCUGCCCUAUCAUGCUUUCGAUGGUAGUGUAUUGGACUACCAUGGCUCUCACGGGUAACGGGGAAUUAGGGUUCGAUUCCGGAGAAGGAGCCUGAGAAACGGCUACUACAUCUACGGAAGGCAGCAGGCGCGUAAAUUACCCAAUCCUGACUCAGGGAGGUAGUGACAAGAUAUAACGACGCGACUAAAAAUCGCGAUUGUAGUGAGGGUAUUCCAAACCGAACCACUAGUACGAUUGGAGG
Molecule: ribosomal RNA, 453 nt
Filed under: uncultured eukaryote
Lineage: Eukaryota
Description: SSU rRNA
Rfam family: Eukaryotic small subunit ribosomal RNA
Source: RNAcentral